GCGUAGAUGGCGGAGUGGUCAAUCGCAGUGGACUGUAAAUCCAUCGGCUUCGGCCUACGGGGGUUCGAAUCCCUCUCUACGCACCA
Molecule: transfer RNA, 86 nt
Filed under: Minisyncoccota bacterium
Lineage: Bacteria; Bacillati; Minisyncoccota
Description: tRNA-Tyr
Rfam family: tRNA
About the family: Transfer RNA (tRNA) molecules are approximately 80 nucleotides in length.
Source: RNAcentral